CCUACGGGAGGCAGCAGUGAGGAAUAUUGGUCAAUGGACGCAAGUCUGAACCAGCCAUGCCGCGUGCAGGAUGACGGCUCUAUGAGUUGUAAACUGCUUUUGUACGAGGGUAAACCCCGAUACGUGUAUCGGGUUGAAAGUAUCGUACGAAUAAGGAUCGGCUAACUCCGUGCCAGCAGCCGCGGUAAUACGGAGGAUCCGAGCGUUAUCCGGAUUUAUUGGGUUUAAAGGGUGCGUAGGCGGUUUGAUAAGUUAGAGGUGAAAUGUCGGGGCUCAACCCCGAAACUGCCUCUAAUACUGUCGGACUAGAGUGUAGUUGCGGUAGGCGGAAUGUAUGGUGUAGCGGUGAAAUGCAUAGAGAUCAUACAGAACACCGAUUGCGAAGGCAGCUUACCAAACUAUAACUGACGUUGAGGCACGAAAGCGUGGGGAGCAAACAGGAUUAGAUACCCUUGUAGUC
Molecule: ribosomal RNA, 460 nt
Filed under: uncultured bacterium
Lineage: Bacteria
Description: partial 16S ribosomal RNA
Rfam family: Bacterial small subunit ribosomal RNA
Source: RNAcentral